This 660-nucleotide unclassified non-coding RNA is filed under the name Hevea brasiliensis (rubber tree). The record is from RNAcentral. Lineage: Eukaryota; Viridiplantae; Streptophyta; Magnoliopsida; Malpighiales; Euphorbiaceae.
AAGCAAACAACACAAAUGAUUACAUGGUGACUAUUUGUUACAGUUAUGAGUAGUUUUAGACUAAGACUUGGAAGAAAAAUUAUCUGGCAGCUGGGGCUAAGCAAUCAUUUGAUAAGUGAGGGCUCUCAAUCUCAAGGAAACUCGUGAGUAAUGUUUUUCUUGAAGAUUGUGCCUUGGAGCUCCCACUGCCAGAAAGUUUAUGGGCUCCAUCACUUCCCUUCUCUAUCUUGAUGCCUUCUUGUAUUGCCAGAAUUACUUCCUGCAUCUUUGGCCUGGAAACUGCACGUUGUUGAACACAUUGGAUUGCAACUUCAGCAAUCCUCCAGAUUGAUUCGAUUUUUGCAUUCCCUAUUAGUACAGGAUCCACAAUGCUCACCACAUCUCCUUUACGAAUCAAGGCUCUUGCCCAGUGAAUAAUGUUCAUUUCAGAACCAAAAUCUUCUGUUGAGACAGGUUUUUUUCCAGUGAUAAGUUCUAGGAGAACAACCCCAAAACUGUAGACAUCACUCUUUUCUGUCAAUUGCUGAUUUGCAUAAUAUUCAGGAUCAAGGUAACCAACUGUCCCUCUUGCCACACUUGAUAUAUGGGUUAGAUCAUCUUCAGCUUGCCUUGAAAGUCCAAAAUCUGACACUUUUGCUCUCAUAUUGAUGUCUAAGAGAA